UUGAGCCCCCCUAAUUAUGCCAAGAUGACACCCUGGUAUCAUGGACAUUGGGUUCUGCACCCCCCAUGAUGCAGACCCUUACCCAGAAAAAAUAUAAAAUUUCCAUCCUCUACUCCUUCCAAGAAAAUGGUAGGACCGUUUUAGGGGUUAGAAAAAAAAAAUAAGAAUAAUAAUAAUAAUAAGAAACCGAACAAAAACAUAAAGUCCCCAAAACUCCGUUUUGGUGACUUAAUAAUAAUAAGAAAAAAAGAAACGAACAAUAACAAUAUGUCACCCCAACUCCGUUGAGGGUGCCAUAAUAACUAGAUUUGCCAUUGCAAGCAAUAGCGGAUGGCACCCUUUCCCCAUUGCCAGGCCAGCAGCAGCCAUUUAAAAAUUUUGCUGUUUCCAUGGCAACGGCGGCCAUUUUGAAAAUUCGAAACUCAAAAGUUAAGUCUACAUAAGCUAGGCAAAAUGUGUUAUAAGUUUCAUUAAAUUUAAAGCAUUUUGAAGUUUUUCAUAAUUUUGCUGUUCCCAUGGUAACGGCGGCCAUUUUGAAUAUUCCAAAACCCCGCUGCAAUUUUUUUCCCUCCAUAAUCAUAUAUACCAUCAUAUACCAUUUAAUGUCUCUAGAAUAAAUUUAACAUUGAUGUUCUGGAAUGUUCUGUGAAAAUUCAAAGUUUUGACCUUUUUGCAUUGUUUCCAUGGUAACAACAGAUAUUUUGGAAAUUCCAACGCCAAAUUCCACAUCUUCCAAUGUUGCUCAUCGUUACUGUGAAGUUUCAAAAAAGUUUGGAGCAUUUUCGUAUUUUUGGAAAUUUUUGGUGUAGUUUCCAUGGCAACAUAGUAGUUCCAAUGAGUGCCAAAAUCACCCAACACCUGUAUAUAGUGGGCACCUCCAUUGUAUUCAAAUAUAAUGAUUCUGAGUUAAAGCAUAUCCAAACAGUUCACCAAAAACAAAAACUGGAUUUUUUCACAUUUGUUCUGUUUCCAUGGAAACGGCAGCCAUCUUGAACCAUUCCAUGCUUCCUGCAACUCUGCACAUGGGGUCCUUAAUAUAGUAAAGUUCCAUCAACUUUGGUACUUUAGAUUUGGAGAAAUCGCCUGGACAAAAUGUGUUGCAAGAAAAAUAAUAAUAAGAAAAAAAAAGAACGAGAAUAACAAUACGUCACCCCAACUCCGUUGAGGGUGCCAUAAUAAUAAGAAAAAAAAAAAAGAACGUAGAAUAACAAUACGUCACCCCAACUCCGUUGAGGGUGCCAUAACAAAGAAACAUAAGAAAAGCAAUAUGUCACCCGACAUUGUCGAUCGGGUGACAUAAUAGAUUUGUAAAUACUAGCAAUAACGGAUGGCACCAUCGUCCCCCCCAUUGCCAGGCGAGCGGCAGCCAUUUUGGAAAUUCUAAAGUCAAAGAGUGCAUCUACACCUGCAAGUUUUUAUUUUUGCAUAAUUUCAGUAAGUUUGGAGCAUUUUGAAAUAAGAAAAAAAAAGAAACGUAGAAUAACAAUAUGUCACCCUAACUCCGUUGAGGGUGCCAUAAUAAGAAAAAAAGAAACGAACAAUAACAAUAUGUCACCCCAACUCCGUUGAGGGUGCCAUAAUAACAAAGAAACGAAGGAAUAACAAUAUGUCACCCGACAUUGUCGAUCGGGUGACAUAAAAAAAAGAAACGUAGAAUAACAAUACGUCACCCCAACUUCGUUGAGGGUGCCAUAAUAAUAGGGAAAAAGAAACAGAGGAAAAGCAAUAUGUCACCCGACUUUGUCGAUCGGGUGACAUAAUAAUAAGACAAAAAGAAACGAACAAUAACAAUAUGUCACCCCAACUCCGUUGAGGGUGCCAUAAAAAGAAACGUAAAAUACCAAUAUGUCACCCCAACUCCGUUGAGGGUGCCAUAAAAAGAAACGUAGAAUAACAAUAUGUCACCCCAACUCCGUUGAGGGUGCCAUAAAUAGGGAAAAAGAAACAGAGGAAAAGCAAUAUGUCACCCGACAUUGUCGAUCGGGUGACAUAAUUAUAG
RNAcentral lists this long non-coding RNA (1999 nucleotides) under Mytilus galloprovincialis (Mediterranean mussel). Lineage: Eukaryota; Metazoa; Mollusca; Bivalvia; Mytilida; Mytilidae. The record is from RNAcentral.